UGGGGAAUAUUGGGCAAUGGGCGCAAGCCUGACCCAGCAACGCCGCGUGAAGGAAGAAGGCUUUCGGGUUGUAAACUUCUUUUCUGAGGGACGAUAGUGACGGUACCUCCGGCAUAAGCCACGGCUAACUACGUCCCACCAGCCGCGGUAAUACGUAGGUGGCAAGCGUUAUCCGGAUUUACUGGGUGUAAAGGGCGUUGAGGCAGGACUGCAAGUCAGAUGUGAAAACCAGGGGCUCAACUCCUGGCCUGCAUUUGAAACUGUAGUUCUUGAGUGUUGGAGAGGCAGGCGGAAUUCCGUGUGUAGCGGUGAAAUGCGUAGAUAUACGGAGGAACACCAGUGGCGAAGGCGGCCUGCUGGACAAUAACUGACGCUGAGGCGCGAAAGCGUGGGGAGCAAACAGG
Molecule: ribosomal RNA, 404 nt
Filed under: uncultured bacterium
Lineage: Bacteria
Description: bacterial SSU rRNA
Rfam family: Bacterial small subunit ribosomal RNA
Source: RNAcentral